AGUCGAGCGGAUGAGUGGAGCUUGCUCCAUGAUUCAGCGGCGGACGGGUGAGUAAUGCCUAGGAAUCUGCCUGGUAGUGGGGGACAACGUUUCGAAAGGAACGCUAAUACCGCAUACGUCCUACGGGAGAAAGCAGGGGACCUUCGGGCCUUGCGCUAUCAGAUGAGCCUAGGUCGGAUUAGCUAGUUGGUGGGGUAAAGGCCUACCAAGGCGACGAUCCGUAACUGGUCUGAGAGGAUGAUCAGUCACACUGGAACUGAGACACGGUCCAGACUCCUACGGGAGGCAGCAGUGGGGAAUAUUGGACAAUGGGCGAAAGCCUGAUCCAGCCAUGCCGCGUGUGUGAAGAAGGUCUUCGGAUUGUAAAGCACUUUAAGUUGGGAGGAAGGGCAGUAAGUUAAUACCUUGCUGUUUUGACGUUACCAACAGAAUAAGCACCGGCUAACUUCGUGCCAGCAGCCGCGGUAAUACGAAGGGUGCAAGCGUUAAUCGGAAUUACUGGGCGUAAAGCGCGCGUAGGUGGUUUGGUAAGAUGGAUGUGAAAUCCCCGGGCUCAACCUGGGAACUGCAUCCAUAACUGCCUGACUAGAGUACGGUAGAGGGUGGUGGAAUUUCCUGUGUAGCGGUGAAAU
This 632-nucleotide ribosomal RNA is filed under the name Pseudomonas sp. ILI-S4-I2. RNAcentral's name for it is "bacterial SSU rRNA". It matches the Rfam family "Bacterial small subunit ribosomal RNA", at positions 60 to 687 of the family's 1533-position model. The record is from RNAcentral. Lineage: Bacteria; Pseudomonadati; Pseudomonadota; Gammaproteobacteria; Pseudomonadales; Pseudomonadaceae.